AUGGCUCAGGACGAACGCUGGCGGCGUGCUUCACACAUGCAAGUCGAACGGAUCACUUUCGGGUGGUUAGUGGCGAACGGGUGAGUAACACGUGAGUAACCUGUCCCGAAGACUGGGAUAACAGUGGGAAACUGCUGCUAAUACCGGAUGUCCCCAUGUGGUCGCAUGGUUGUGUGGGGAAAUGCUUUUGUGCUUCGGGAGGGGCUCGCGGCCUAUCAGCUUGUUGGUGGGGUGAUGGCCUACCAAGGCGUCGACGGGUAGCUGGUCUGAGAGGACGAUCAGCCACACUGGGACUGAGACACGGCCCAGACUCCUACGGGAGGCAGCAGUGGGGAAUCUUGCGCAAUGGGCGGAAGCCUGACGCAGCAACGCCGCGUGAGGGAUGAAUGCCUUCGGGUUGUAAACCUCUUUCGAGCAGGGACGAUUGUGACGGUACCUGCAGAAGAAGCUCCGGCCAACUAC
This 462-nucleotide ribosomal RNA is filed under the name uncultured bacterium. RNAcentral describes it as "bacterial SSU rRNA". It matches the Rfam family "Bacterial small subunit ribosomal RNA", at positions 19 to 504 of the family's 1533-position model. The record is from RNAcentral.